GACAGAGGUUGCAAGCGUUGUUCGGAAUUACUGGGCAUAAAGCGCACGUAGGCGGUCCGCUAAGUCAUGUGUGAAAUCCCCCGGCUCAACCGGGGAAUGGCGCCUGAUACUGGCGGACUCGAGAUCGGUAGGGGUGAGUGGAAUUCCUGGUGUAGCGGUGGAAUGCGCAGAUAUCAGGAGGAACACCGGUGGCGAAGGCGGGUCUCUGGGCAGUAACUGACGCUGAGGAGCGAAAGCGUGGGGAGCGAACAGG
RNAcentral lists this ribosomal RNA (253 nucleotides) under uncultured bacterium. RNAcentral's name for it is "partial 16S ribosomal RNA". It matches the Rfam family "Bacterial small subunit ribosomal RNA", at positions 524 to 776 of the family's 1533-position model. The record is from RNAcentral.